Molecule: ribosomal RNA, 1441 nt
Filed under: uncultured organism
Description: 16S ribosomal RNA
Rfam family: Bacterial small subunit ribosomal RNA
Source: RNAcentral
CAGGCUUAACACAUGCAAGUCGAGGGGCAGCAUUUUAGUUUGCUUGCAAACUAAAGAUGGCGACCGGCGCACGGGUGAGUAACACGUAUCCAACCUGCCGAUAACUCGGGGAUAGCCUUUCGAAAGAAAGAUUAAUAUCCGAUAGUAUAUUAAAACCGCAUGGUUUUACUAUUAAAGAAUUUCGGUUAUCGAUGGGGAUGCGUUCCAUUAGUUUGUUGGCGGGGUAACGGCCCACCAAGACUACGAUGGAUAGGGGUUCUGAGAGGAAGGUCCCCCACAUUGGAACUGAGACACGGUCCAAACUCCUACGGGAGGCAGCAGUGAGGAAUAUUGGUCAAUGGACGAGAGUCUGAACCAGCCAAGUAGCGUGAAGGAUGACUGCCCUAUGGGUUGUAAACUUCUUUUAUAUGGGAAUAAAGUAUUCCACGUGUGGGAUUUUGUAUGUACCAUAUGAAUAAGGAUCGGCUAACUCCGUGCCAGCAGCCGCGGUAAUACGGAGGAUCCGAGCGUUAUCCGGAUUUAUUGGGUUUAAAGGGAGCGUAGGUGGAUUGUUAAGUCAGUUGUGAAAGUUUGCGGCUCAACCGUAAAAUUGCAGUUGAAACUGGCAGUCUUGAGUACAGUAGAGGUGGGCGGAAUUCGUGGUGUAGCGGUGAAAUGCUUAGAUAUCACGAAGAACUCCGAUUGCGAAGGCAGCUCACUAGACUGCAACUGACACUGAUGCUCGAAAGUGUGGGUAUCAAACAGGAUUAGAUACCCUGGUAGUCCACACAGUAAACGAUGAAUACUCGCUGUUUGCGAUAUACAGUAAGCGGCCAAGCGAAAGCAUUAAGUAUUCCACCUGGGGAGUACGCCGGCAACGGUGAAACUCAAAGGAAUUGACGGGGGCCCGCACAAGCGGAGGAACAUGUGGUUUAAUUCGAUGAUACGCGAGGAACCUUACCCGGGCUUAAAUUGCAUUUGAAUAAUCUGGAAACAGGUUAGCCGCAAGGCAAAUGUGAAGGUGCUGCAUGGUUGUCGUCAGCUCGUGCCGUGAGGUGUCGGCUUAAGUGCCAUAACGAGCGCAACCCUUAUCUUUAGUUACUAACAGGUCAUGCUGAGGACUCUAGAGAGACUGCCGUCGUAAGAUGUGAGGAAGGUGGGGAUGACGUCAAAUCAGCACGGCCCUUACGUCCGGGGCUACACACGUGUUACAAUGGGGGGUACAGAAGGCAGCUACCUGGCGACAGGAUGCUAAUCCCAAAAACCUCUCUCAGUUCGGAUCGAAGUCUGCAACCCGACUUCGUGAAGCUGGAUUCGCUAGUAAUCGCGCAUCAGCCAUGGCGCGGUGAAUACGUUCCCGGGCCUUGUACACACCGCCCGUCAAGCCAUGAAAGCCGGGGGUACCUGAAGUACGUAACCGCAAGGAGCGUCCUAGGGUAAAACUGGUAAUUGGGGCUAAGUC